AUUGAACGCUGGCGGCAUGCCCUACACAUGCAAGUCGAACGGCAGCACGGGAGCAAUCCUGGUGGCGAGUGGCGAACGGGUGAGUAAAGUAUCGGAACGUGCCCAGUCGUGGGGGAUAACGUAGCGAAAGCUACGCUAAUACCGCAUACGAUCCAUGGAUGAAAGCGGGGGAUCGCAAGACCUCGCGCGAUUGGAGCGGCCGAUAUCAGAUUAGGUAGUUGGUGGGGUAAAGGCUCACCAAGCCGACGAUCUGUAGCUGGUCUGAGAGGACGACCAGCCACACUGGGACUGAGACACGGCCCAGACUCCUACGGGAGGCAGCAGUGGGGAAUUUUGGACAAUGGGCGAAAGCCUGAUCCAGCCAUGCCGCGUGCAGGAUGAAGGCCUUCGGGUUGUAAACUGCUUUUGUACGGAACGAAAAGGUUUGGCCUAAUAAGCUGAGCUCAUGACGGUACCGUAAGGAUAAGCACCGGCUAACUACGUGCCAGCCGCCGCGGUAA
RNAcentral lists this ribosomal RNA (500 nucleotides) under uncultured bacterium. RNAcentral describes it as "partial 16S ribosomal RNA". It matches the Rfam family "Bacterial small subunit ribosomal RNA", at positions 29 to 523 of the family's 1533-position model. The record is from RNAcentral.